CUGCGUGUUAUAAUCUAUUCAUCUUCGUCUCUCGAUGGAGUUAGGGUUACGUGCUCAGAAGUUGCAGACUCAAAUUUCCAAACUGAACAAUGUCAGAUCACCACCAUUUUCCGGAGGAACUCCAGAUCGAGAUCCUCAAAAGGCUCCCAGUCAAGUCCCUUCUACGCUUCACCGCCGUUUCCAAAUCGUGGUACUUCAUCAUCACCAGCACCGCCUUCAUCUCCGCCCAUUGCCGCCACCAUAGGAACGGUAACUCCGCCGCUAACCUCCUCCUCCUCCGACGUUAUAACAAAUCCUACAAAGUGGAAAAAUGUUCCGUACUCAGCCACACUGACCGCCAAUUGCUCAGCCUCAAUAAUUCCCACGAACUCAGCUUCCCAAUUUCACGCGUAAUCAGGUAUUUGCGUACAGUUGGCUUCUAUAACGGCGUCUUUUGUUUAUCGGAGGAUCAAUGUAGUGAUCCGCAUUCUGUAACUUUGUGGAAUCCCAGUAUUCGAAAGCUUAGGACCUUACCUUGUCCCUCUAUUAGGCCCGCUUGCCAAUUUAGGUUUGUACUUGGAUUCGGUGCUAGUCCACGAAGUGAUGAUGAUCUUAAGGUGGUGAGAGUUGUGUAUGAAAGGAAAGGUGUUAAUUUGGAUAUAGGACCAGUCAUCCCACCUUUGGUUGAGAUCUAUUCUCUCAGCACUGGGGUGUGGAGAAGGAUAACAGCACCUGGGGUUAACUACUAUAUAGUCGAUUACAUUUGGCCUCAGGCCUUUGUCAAUGGAGCAGUACAUUGGAUUGGGUACAAAUUGCUUGAGGAUAAAAGUUUUCAGAGUUUGAUAGCAGUUUUCACCAUGACUGAUGAGUUGUUUGAUGAGAUUAUGCUCCCAGAUGAAUUGCUUUCGGUGGACCCAUCAAAUUUAUCUGUUAUUGUGUAUGAGGAGUUUGUUGCAGUUGUUAAGUAUAGUAGAAGGAUACAGGGUGAUUCAUGUGAAUUGUGGAUAAUGAAAGAGUAUGGAGUUGUGGAUUCUUGGACUAAGCUGCCUACUAUAGAAUUGGUGGGAGGGAUGAAAAAACUUGUUGGCUUUAGGGAAAAUGGUGAAUUAUUGCUAUCUACUAAGAAAAGUGGGCUGGUUUCCUACUGUCCAGAUACUAGAGUCGUCAAUGAUCUUGGCAUUUUGGGAAACAACCGCUCAUUUUAUGUUCAUAAAUAUUUGGGGGAAUUCCUUGUUUUGCUUCGAGAACAAAUCCCCCUGUGAAUUGAAGAGAAGAUAGAGUGAGUCAGUUCUUUUAAAACAUGAAGUAUUGCAGGGCGUAACAUAUCUACAACAUUUUUGCUCUUAGGGCAUGUCAGUAACCAAACUAUUAAUGUUUUCUUUAGAGCUGAAUCAAUUUAUGCAAGUUACAUUUGAACAGAUACUGCAAUGUAAUAGAGUUAGUGCAAUGUAUCAAGCAGAAGAAAGUCAAUAGCAAUCUUUGGUGGACUACACAAUGGCAAAGCAAGUUUUUCUUUCCG
Molecule: RNA transcript, 1498 nt
Organism: Ipomoea nil (Japanese morning glory)
Lineage: Eukaryota; Viridiplantae; Streptophyta; Magnoliopsida; Solanales; Convolvulaceae
Gene name: F-box/kelch-repeat protein At3g23880-like
Exons: 3
Source: RefSeq, a predicted model, not a curated record